RNAcentral lists this ribosomal RNA (253 nucleotides) under uncultured bacterium. RNAcentral's name for it is "partial 16S ribosomal RNA". It matches the Rfam family "Bacterial small subunit ribosomal RNA", at positions 524 to 776 of the family's 1533-position model. The record is from RNAcentral.
UACGUAGGGGGCUAGCGUUGUCCGGAAUCAUUGGGCGUAAAGAGCGCGUAGGCGGCCAGACAAGUCCGGUGUGAAAGUCACAGGCUCAACCUGUGAAUGCCGCUGGAAACUGUCUGGCUAGAGUCCGGAAGGGGCGAGUGGAAUUCCUGGUGUAGCGGCGAAAUGCGCAGAUAUCAGGAGGAACACCAGUGGCGAAGGCGGCUACCUGGCCCACUCUUGACGCUGAGGCGCGAAAGCUAGGGGAGCAAACGGG